This is a long non-coding RNA of Lates calcarifer (barramundi perch), 526 nucleotides long. RefSeq lists it as uncharacterized. The transcript has 5 exons. Lineage: Eukaryota; Metazoa; Chordata; Actinopteri; Centropomidae. The record is from RefSeq and is a predicted model, not a curated record.
GGGAGAAAUUGGAGCUCCAGGCUUUAGUGGACCACCAGGCCCUCCUGGCAAAAUGGGACCCAGAGGAUUGAAAGGUGUCUUAGGAGUUAAAGGACCUCCAGUAAGUAAACAACUAGUUAAUCACAUUCCAUCCAAUCCAAAUGAUAAAAAGAUAUUUGUAAAAUAUUUUAUGCUUUCAGGGUCAUCAAGGUGAACUUGGUGCCAGAGGACCAGCUGGACCACAGGGAGAGCCAGGUCCUCAUGGAACAAUUGGAUUUCCUGGUGUCCGUGGCCCUCAGGGAAACCCAGGACCAGAUGGGCCUCUGGGUCCUAAGGGGGACCCUGUGAGUACACUUCAAGAAAAAAAGGGGGGAUUAAAAAUUGUAAUGCUGUAUUAGAUUGCAAUUAUACAUUUUUGGAUGUCGCUGUCAUCUGCCUUCUGUGUGUUUCACCAGGGUGAUCCAGGAGAUGAAGGGGAAAUAGGAGAACCUGGAUCACCUGGACUAAAUGGAGCCAAUGGGAAUCCAGGAAAGCCUGGACCCUCAGG